RNAcentral lists this ribosomal RNA (373 nucleotides) under uncultured organism. RNAcentral's name for it is "partial 16S ribosomal RNA". It matches the Rfam family "Bacterial small subunit ribosomal RNA", at positions 527 to 896 of the family's 1533-position model. The record is from RNAcentral.
GUAGGUGGCAAGCGUUGUCCGGAAUUAUUGGGCGUAAAGCGCGCGCGGGCGGUUCUUUAAGUCUGAUGUGAAAGCCCACGGGCUCAACCGUGGAGGGUCAUUGGAAACUGGAGAACUUGAGUACAGAAGAGGAAAGCGGAAUUCCACGUGUAGCGGUGAAAUGCGUAGAGAUGUGGAGGAACACCAGUGGCGAAGGCGGCUUUCUGGUCUGUAACUGACGCUGAGGCGCGAAAGCGUGGGGAGCAAACAGGACUAGAUACCCUGGUAGUCCACGCCGUAAACGAUGAGUGCUAAGUGUUAGGGGGUUUCCGCCCCUUAGUGCUGCAGCUAACGCAUUAAGCACUCCGCCUGGGGAGUACGGCCGCAAAGGCUG